RNAcentral lists this ribosomal RNA (264 nucleotides) under uncultured archaeon. Its description in RNAcentral is "partial 16S ribosomal RNA". It matches the Rfam family "Archaeal small subunit ribosomal RNA", at positions 716 to 982 of the family's 1478-position model. The record is from RNAcentral.
AGUCACUGACAUUAGAUACCCGCGUAGUCCAGGGUGUAAACGCUGCAGACUUGGUGUUGGAGGCCCUUUGGGGGCAUUCAGUGCCGGAGAGAAGUUGUUAAGUCUGCUACUUGGGGAGUACGUCCGCAAGGAUGAAACUUAAAGGAAUUGGCGGGGGAGCACCGCAACGGGAGGAGCGUGCGGUUUAAUUGGAUUCAACACCGUAAACUCACCAGGGAAGACUGUUACAUGAAGGCCGAGAUGAAGACUCUGCUAGAUUUUCAG